Molecule: ribosomal RNA, 390 nt
Filed under: Eukaryota sp.
Lineage: Eukaryota
Description: SSU rRNA
Rfam family: Eukaryotic small subunit ribosomal RNA
Source: RNAcentral
CUUGUGAACUAUUUCGUUGGUUUCUAGGACAUGAGUAAUGAUUAAUAGGGAUAGUUGGGGGCAUUCAUAUUUAAUUGUCAGAGGUGAAAUUCUUAGAUUUAUGAAAGAUGAACAUAUGCGAAAGCAUUUGCCAAGGAUGUUUUCAUUAAUCAAGAACGAAAGUUAGGGGAUCGAAGACGAUCAGAUACCGUCGUAGUCUUAACCAUAAACUAUGCCGACUAGGGAUUGGCGGAUGUUCCAUUUACGACUCCUUCAGCACCUUUAGCGAAAGCAAAGUUUUUGGGUUCCGGGGGGAGUAUGGUCGCAAGGCUGAAACUUAAAGGAAUUGACGGAAGGGCACCACCAGGAGUGGAGCCUGCGGCUUAAUUUGACUCAACACGGGGAAACUCA